CUAGAAGCACUAAUUGCUCCGAUACCAGAUUUGUAAGGAUAUACCCAUUUGUUUUCGUGCUCGUAUGAGAAAUAACCAAUCAAUCACGCACAAAAGCACUAAAAACACAAACCAUUGUUCACCCAGUUCCGUGAAAAAGCCUAAUCUAGGGAGCUAAUAGACUAACAUGUUCACUAUGUGCAAAAUAACCUUCCAAGAGACAAAGAGAUUACACUGAGACCAAAAUUAGACACUAGAUCUUAUCCUUGAACCAAAAGGAUCUUACAAAUCACACCUUAAUCACCAAUAAACCAAGAACCCUACUGCCAAACCAAAAUAUACACAUCACAAGCCUUACAAUCGGCUAAAAUUAAUAUAGCAAGAUGUAUUUCACAGGGUUCUUUCAGAUCGAUUAAGAUCUAAUGUUAAAUCAUAAGAAACAGAAACCAAAAAUAGAAGAAGAAUCAAGGUCUCUAGAAGAACCCCAAAACUUGGAAAACCAAGACUGCAUCCCAUCCUUUGAAAUGACCCCUCAAAUGCCAAACCAAUUGUAUCAUAUUAGUUCUCAACCAGUGAUCAAAAAAUGGACGACCAGGAUAAUGUUUGAAGAAGCACAACUCGAGUGAAGCACCAACAGCCAAUUGGGGGUUGCCACUUGGGCCUUCCACAUCCAAAUGAUGUUUUUGCCCUUACUAAAGUAUUGAUUUGAGAAACACGUUUUUUACAAUCUUCACCUUGGUUCUCAAAUUAUCUACUGUCUCUAGUAUGCUAGAUUGCACAUAAAACGGACUUGGCCCUAUAUCAUUGCCCAAAGUACUUGCAAGAGAAAUCAACCUGUAUCAAUAUGAAGAAUAAAUUAACAUGAUCAAAACUUAUUAACAGGUAAAAUUAAUGUGCCCAUCAAAUGGGUAUUCAUCAGUGUGAAUUUUCUUAAGAUUCACUUCACAAGUAGAUAUAUUUUCUCCUAUGAAGUGAUA
RNAcentral lists this long non-coding RNA (956 nucleotides) under Olea europaea subsp. europaea. The record is from RNAcentral. Lineage: Eukaryota; Viridiplantae; Streptophyta; Magnoliopsida; Lamiales; Oleaceae.